This 253-nucleotide ribosomal RNA is filed under the name uncultured bacterium. RNAcentral describes it as "partial 16S ribosomal RNA". It matches the Rfam family "Bacterial small subunit ribosomal RNA", at positions 524 to 776 of the family's 1533-position model. The record is from RNAcentral.
UACGGAGGGUGCAAGCGUUAUCCGGAUUCACUGGGUUGAAAGGGUGCGUAGGAGGGCAGGUAAGUCAGUGGUGAAAUCUCCGAGCUUAACUUGGAAACUGCCGUUGAUACUAUCUGCCUUGAAUAUUGUGGAGGUGAGCGGAAUAUGUCAUGUAGCGGUGAAAUGCUUAGAUAUGACAUAGAACACCAAUUGCGAAGGCAGCUCGCUACACAUAUAUUGACUCUGAGGCACGAAAGCGUGGUGAUCAAACAGG